GACGAACGCUGGCGGCGUGCUUAACACAUGCAAGUCGAACGAAGCUGAGCAAUCGGCUUAGUGGCGGACGGGUGAGUAACACGUGAGCAAUCUGCCCUAUACACUGGGAUAACACAGAGAAAUUUGUGCUAAUACCGGAUAAGACCACACUGCGGCAUCGCAGAGAGGUAAAAAGGUCCGCCGGUAUAGGAGGAGCUCGCGGCCCAUUAGAUAGUUGGUGAGGUAACGGCCCACCAAGUCGACGAUGGGUAGCCGACCUGAGAGGGUGAUCGGCCACAUUGGAACUGAGAUACGGUCCAAACUCCUACGGAGGCAGCAGUGGGGAAUAUUGGGCAAUGGAGGCAAC
RNAcentral lists this ribosomal RNA (346 nucleotides) under uncultured bacterium. Its description in RNAcentral is "bacterial SSU rRNA". It matches the Rfam family "Bacterial small subunit ribosomal RNA", at positions 28 to 381 of the family's 1533-position model. The record is from RNAcentral.